Molecule: transfer RNA, 190 nt
Filed under: Dysgonomonas hofstadii
Lineage: Bacteria; Pseudomonadati; Bacteroidota; Bacteroidia; Bacteroidales; Dysgonomonadaceae
Description: tRNA-Arg
Source: RNAcentral
GAAGCAGUAGCUCAGUUGGCAGAGUAUGGUAAUCCGUGAAAUUACCUUUAAUGCACAGGUCAAUUAAGGCGUACUCCAAACUUGGCGUGAGCCCCUAUCGCAGCUUUAAAAUUACCGGCAAAUGGUCAAUUCAGAUUUACUUCAUGGAUUUCUAGUCCCUGGGACGCCGGCUCAAAUCCGGCCUGCUUCA